GAUUUUUUAACCAUUUCGGACAGUUGAGAGUUUAGAAUAGUACUAUUUUGGUUAAAUAAAUAUUUAGAACAUCCUAGAGUUUAUUUUGUUUUAAGCUGUAAAACAUUUUUCUUUAAACUGUUUUAGAAAGAUGCUUCCCUACCCAACUCUUAAACAGGUGUUACUAAGCAGGUGACUAAAUAGUGAACUGAGGUGUGCUGUAAUAGAGCAGUUGUUGCUGAAUGCACGGAGGUUUGGUGCUUUCAGACUUCUUGGCCUUCUAAAAUAUAUAUAUAUAUGUACACAUAUAUGUAUGUGUAUAUAUGUAUAUAUAUAUGUACACAUAUAUGUAUGUGUAUAUAUGUAUAUAUAUAUGUACACAUAUAUGUAUGUGUAUAUAUGUAUAUAUAUAUAUACGUAUAUAUAUAUGUUCCUUCCACUCCUACUUUGUGGCUUUUGCUUAUUACUAGGUAAUAUUACUAAGAUUAUUUGCUACAUGCUAUUGUAAUAGUUGUAUAUAUUUAGAAUAAUGCUUGUUACUUAAGGUUAGUCAGGCUUUUUAAUAUGAAGGCCAAUCAAUAGGUUUUAAGGAGCUAUUGAAAUCCCUAAAAUUGCAUACAAAAUGCUUUUAGGCAGUGGAUCUACAAAUGUUAAGAACUGCUUAUUCUUUCAGUAAAUAUUCAUUUGAACACCUAUUUUGUACCAAGCAGUUUGUCAGUGCAGAGGAUCUCUAAGAUAAGAGAGGCCAAAAUUAUGUUCUUUCUAGUUCUUUCUGGUUAUUUAUACUCCUCUUUUUUUUUUUUUUUUUUUUGUUUCCAGGAAAAACAAGAAUGGUGGUGGCUUUACAUUGCAGAUAGGAAGGAGCAGACAUUAAUAUCCAUGCCAUAUCAUGUGUGUACGCUGAAAGAUACAGAGGAGGUAGAGCUGAAGUUUCCUGCACCAGGCAAGCCUGGAAAUUAUCAGUAUACUGUGUUUCUGAGAUCAGACUCCUAUAUGGGUUUGGAUCAGAUUAAACCAUUGAAGUUGGAAGUUCAUGAGGCUAAGCCUGUGCCAGAAAAUCACCCACAGUGGGAUACAGCAAUAGAGGGGGAUGAAGACCAGGAGGACAGUGAGGGCUUUGAAGAUAGCUUUGAAGAAGAAGAGGAGGAAGAGGAAGAUGAUGACUAAGCAGUACUCUGAAUGGACCACAGUGUUUGCACAUAUUUGCAAUUUUUUGCUGUUUUGGAAGUGUAUCAUAAACCAGAAACAGUACAGAACUGAUGUUGAGGGAGGUGUAGUUUUUUUACUCUAGAAAUGGGUGCAUAAUAUAACUAGGCAGUGGCGGUGCCUUGGUACAACCUGAAAAAUGUUAAGGCUUAUUGAAACCUUUCAAGUAGGGGAUGGUGCAUUUAUUUCAUCUGCAAAUGAUAAUAAAUCCUUUGUUAUUAUAACUGUCCAGAAGUGUGGGCUAUGUAUUAUCUGAUCAGUCUAUGGUCCCAGUAAAAGUAAAGAUGCAGGAAACACAGUCUCUAAAUGAGCGACUUUUCUUUGUUCAGCUUUAGUUUUAGCAGACACCACAAAUAUGUUUUAAGUAACAUCGCUGAAGUUUAUAAUCUCUUGAUAAGCUCUGUUGUUGACAUUUUGCAGUGAUACAAGACUGUAACAGCUCCACUCAUAGAUUUAAACUUUUAUUUUUACUUAUCUUGGUCAUAAGUUGGCAUUCUCUCACAUUCCACAUGAUAUAGAUAGAGGGCUACGUUUUGGAAUUUUCCUUUUCUUAAUUGCCCAGAAUUAUCAGACAGAUUAUAAAAAUGGCUUUUAAUGGCUUAAACCAUUUCUAAACCUCUAUCUUAGCAGAUCAAUGCAGGAUCUAAUUCUUUUGAUAAGCUGUAGCUCUAAAAGUGAUAGUGGGACUGUAUGUUUUCUGAUACUGGUGGCUUAUGUUAUUAAACCUUUUUUAAAAAAGGUUCACUCUAAAAGCUGAACUACAUCCUUAGUUUUCAGUCUACUUGACUCUAUCAGGAGCUUUUUAAGGAAAGUAAGUAUAACAUGCAAAGGAAACUUUUUUUUGUAUUCAUUUUGGACUCCUGUCAAUAAAAAUAGAAGUUUGUUGACUCGUU
Molecule: small RNA, 2078 nt
Filed under: Pongo abelii (Sumatran orangutan)
Lineage: Eukaryota; Metazoa; Chordata; Mammalia; Primates; Hominidae
Description: retained intron
Source: RNAcentral